RNAcentral lists this long non-coding RNA (362 nucleotides) under Sinocyclocheilus anshuiensis. RNAcentral describes it as "lncRNA (ENSSANG00000020409.1)". The record is from RNAcentral. Lineage: Eukaryota; Metazoa; Chordata; Actinopteri; Cypriniformes; Cyprinidae.
UGAGCACAUCCAGAGACAGAUCAUUCAGCAGUCUCAGAAGCUGCAGGACAUGGAGCAUCGCUCCACACGAGACACACAGAGCCGACAGGAGCUGGAGGUGCUGCGCAUGCAGAGUCUGGAGCAGCUGCAGGAAGACAUGGAGGACAGACAGAGUCAACUCAGGGCUCUGAGCGCACAGCUCGAGAAAAACAGCAAAGAGACAGAGCUACGGCAACAACGCAGCCACAAGCAAAUCAAACACGUGAGAGGUAAGCUUCAUCAGGAGCGGAGCCUGAAACUAGAAGCAUUCCAGCAGGUGGACACACUACAAAGUCAGAUCCACAGUUUUGAGUCAGCGUUGUGUAAAUCUACAUUUACUUCAG